AGUGAACGCUGGCGGUAGGCCUAACACAUGCAAGUCGAACGGCAGCACAGUAAGAGCUUGCUCUUACGGGUGGCGAGUGGCGGACGGGUGAGGAAUACAUCGGAAUCUACUUUUUCGUGGGGGAUAACGUAGGGAAACUAACGCUAAUACCGCAUACGACCUACGGGUGAAAGCAGGGGAUCUUCGGACCUUGCGCGAUUGAAUGAGCCGAUGUCGGAUUAGCUAGUUGGCGGGGUAAAGGCCCACCAAGGCGACGAUCCGUAGCUGGUCUGAGAGGAUGAUCAGCCACACUGGAACUGAGACACGGUCCAGACUCCUACGGGAGGCAGCAGUGGGGAAUAUUGGACAAUGGGCGCAAGCCUGAUCCAGCCAUACCGCGUGGGUGAAGAAGGCCUUCGGGUUGUAAAGCCCUUUUGUUGGGAAAGAAAAGCAGCAGGUUAAUACCCCGCUGUUCUGACGGUACCCAAAGAAUAAGCACCGGCUAACUUCGUG
This 492-nucleotide ribosomal RNA is filed under the name uncultured bacterium. Its description in RNAcentral is "partial 16S ribosomal RNA". It matches the Rfam family "Bacterial small subunit ribosomal RNA", at positions 29 to 507 of the family's 1533-position model. The record is from RNAcentral.